This 760-nucleotide ribosomal RNA is filed under the name uncultured bacterium. Its description in RNAcentral is "bacterial SSU rRNA". It matches the Rfam family "Bacterial small subunit ribosomal RNA", at positions 28 to 776 of the family's 1533-position model. The record is from RNAcentral.
GAUGAACGCUAGCUACAGGCUUAACACAUGCAAGUCGAGGGGCAUCAGGAAGAAAGCUUGCUUUCUUUGCUGGCGACCGGCGCACGGGUGAGUAACACGUAUCCAACCUGCCCUUUACUCGGGGAUAGCCUUUCGAAAGAAAGAUUAAUACCGCAUGAAGCAGGGGUCCCGCAUGGGGAUAUUUGCUAAAGAUUCAUCGCUGAUAGAUAGGCAUGCGUUCCAUUAGGCAGUUGGCGGGGUAACGGCCCACCAAACCGACGAUGGAUAGGGGUUCUGAGAGGAAGGUCCCCCACAUUGGUACUGAGACACGGACCAAACUCCUACGGGAGGCAGCAGUGAGGAAUAUUGGUCAAUGGGCGUAAGCCUGAACCAGCCAAGUCGCGUGAGGGAUGAAGGUUCUAUGGAUCGUAAACCUCUUUUAUAAGGGAAUAAAGUGCGGGACGUGUCCCGUUUUGUAUGUACCUUAUGAAUAAGGAUCGGCUAACUCCGUGCCAGCAGCCGCGGUAAUACGGAGGAUCCGAGCGUUAUCCGGAUUUAUUGGGUUUAAAGGGAGCGUAGAUGGAUGUUUAAGUCAGUUGUGAAAGUUUGCGGCUCAACCGUAAAAUUGCAGUUGAUACUGGAUAUCUUGAGUGCAGUUGAGGCAGGCGGAAUUCGUGGUGUAGCGGUGAAAUGCUUAGAUAUCACGAAGAACUCCGAUUGCGAAGGCAGCCUGCUAAGCUGCAACUGACAUUGAGGCUCGAAAGUGUGGGUAUCAAACAGG